This 578-nucleotide long non-coding RNA is filed under the name Felis catus (domestic cat). RNAcentral describes it as "lncRNA (ENSFCAG00000048910.1)". Lineage: Eukaryota; Metazoa; Chordata; Mammalia; Carnivora; Felidae. The record is from RNAcentral.
GGCAGAGAAUGGGAAGAAAAAUCCCAAGCAGACCCUGUGCUGCCAGCAUGGAGCCCCACACAGGGCUCGAUUCCACAAACUGUGAGAUCAUGACCUGAGCCAAAAUCAGGAGUUAGAUGCUUAACCGACUCAGCCACUCAGGAGCCCCUCUGGAAGCUCUUCUCAAAAUAUGGACCAAAGACCAUAGACCUUCCUCUUCUGCAAUCACCACUCUCACGAUAUUGUUAGGAGAUUGUUUUCUUUCAUUAGAAUUCACGUGCACAAUUGAGAAUAGAAGAAAAGACAGGGAUAAGAAGCCAAAUAGGUAAAAUAUUACUUUAACACAACUUUAUUGAGCUAUAAUAAGUGACAAUUAUACUAUAAAAAUAUGGUGUUUUAACCUACAUAUACAACCUUGAUUCUAUCACUGCAAUCAAGAUAGUGAACAUAUUCACCACUCCAAACUUUCCUCAUUCCUAUUUCAAUCCAUGUCCCUUCCUCUCUUCCCUGUCUGUGCCCUGCUUUCUAAGUAACCACUGCCAAGUUCACUGUAGUUUAGUUUGCAUUUUAUAGAGCUUAACGUAAGCAGAUCAUACAAG